CCUACGGGAGGCAGCAGCAACGAAUCUUCCGCAAUGGGCGCAAGCCUGACGGAGCAAUGCCGCGUGUGGGAUGAAGUGCCUCCGGCAUGUAAACCACUGUCAGAAGAUAGAAACACUGAUCAUCUUCAAAGGAAGUGGCGACUAACUCUGUGCCAGCAGUCGCGGUAAUACAGAGGCCACAAGCGUUAGUCGGAAUUACUGGGCUUAAAGGGUGCGUAGGCUGUCUCUCAAGCGUCCUGUGAAAGCCUCCCGCUCAACGGGAGAACAGCAGGGCGAACUGGGCGACUCGAGGUUGGUAGGGGCUCACAGAACAGUCGGUGGACCGGUGAAAUGGGUAGAGAUCGACUGGAAUGCCGAUGGCGAAGGCGGUGAGCUGGGCCAAAUCUGACGCUGAGGCACGAAAGCGUGGGGAGCAAACAGGAUUAGAUACCCUGGUAGUCCACGCCGUAAACGAUGUAUGCUAGAUCGGUGCGGUUUUGACGCCGUAUCGGUCGACGUGAAAACGAUAAGCAUACCGCCUGGGGAGUACGGUCGCAAGGCUAAAACUCAAA
This 551-nucleotide ribosomal RNA is filed under the name uncultured Planctomycetota bacterium. RNAcentral's name for it is "bacterial SSU rRNA". It matches the Rfam family "Bacterial small subunit ribosomal RNA", at positions 338 to 905 of the family's 1533-position model. The record is from RNAcentral. Lineage: Bacteria; Pseudomonadati; Planctomycetota.